This 74-nucleotide transfer RNA is filed under the name Stegodyphus mimosarum. It matches the Rfam family "tRNA". From Rfam's summary of the family: Transfer RNA (tRNA) molecules are approximately 80 nucleotides in length. Their secondary structure includes four short double-helical elements and three loops (D, anti-codon, and T loops). The record is from Rfam by way of RNAcentral. Lineage: Eukaryota; Metazoa; Arthropoda; Arachnida; Araneae; Eresidae.
GCCUUCGUGGUGUAGUGGUCAGCACGCUCGAUGUAUAAUUCGAGAGGUCCGUGGUUCGAGUCCCGGCGAAGGCG